RNAcentral lists this transfer RNA (90 nucleotides) under Eubacterium sp. Its description in RNAcentral is "tRNA-Ser". It matches the Rfam family "tRNA". From Rfam's summary of the family: Transfer RNA (tRNA) molecules are approximately 80 nucleotides in length. RNAcentral also lists the same sequence under 1 other name. Lineage: Bacteria; Bacillati; Bacillota; Clostridia; Eubacteriales; Eubacteriaceae. The record is from RNAcentral.
GGAGUGGUAAGCCUAACGGUAAGGCAGCGGUUUGCUAAACCGUGAGUAAUCCGAAAGGAUGUGCAGGUUCAAGUCCUGUCCACUCCGCCA